UACGGAGGAUCCAAGCGUUAUCCGGAUUCAUUGGGUUUAAAGGGUCCGCAGGCGGGAUAUUAAGUCAGUGGUGAAAUCGUACGGCUCAACCGUGCAACUGCCAUUGAUACUGGUAUUCUUGAGUAUAGUUGAGGUGGGCGGAAUAUGUCAUGUAGCGGUGAAAUGCAUAGAUAUGACAUAGAACACCGAUUGCGAAGGCAGCUCACUAAACUAUUACUGACGCUCAGGGACGAAAGCGUGGGGAGCGAACAGG
Molecule: unclassified non-coding RNA, 253 nt
Filed under: uncultured Cryomorphaceae bacterium
Lineage: Bacteria; Pseudomonadati; Bacteroidota; Flavobacteriia; Flavobacteriales; Cryomorphaceae
Description: contains 16S-23S intergenic spacer region
Rfam family: Bacterial small subunit ribosomal RNA
Source: RNAcentral